Molecule: long non-coding RNA, 3381 nt
Organism: Dromaius novaehollandiae (emu)
Lineage: Eukaryota; Metazoa; Chordata; Aves; Casuariiformes; Dromaiidae
Exons: 2
Source: RefSeq, a predicted model, not a curated record
CUCCCUGGAAAGGCAGCGUGGCCGCAGAGACGCCAAGGCACGCGGAGCUGCGCUGCUCGAACGCGCUUCGGCGCGCUCGAGGGCACGUCAGCAGCGUGACCGCGUGACGGGCGAGGGCAAACGCUGCCCCGCGCGAGUCCCACCGCGUUAAAAGCAAAAUGAAGAACGAUGAGACCAGACGAAGAAGGCGGCAUCCCCCACCUCUCCCAGCGACCCUGCGGUGAGACAGAGCUGUCCGUCGGCAUCCCCUCUUCCAGCGUCCGCCGCAGGACACCGGCACGAAGGCAGAGCUUUGGGAAAUAACAUCCCACCCAAAGGAUGGAGACGUGAAUGCUUCACCACACUGUGAUGGCUUUCACUCUCUCAGUACCCUUGACAGAUACUCGCCUUCAGCCUGGAGAAGCAAUGGCUUUUGAGGGGACCCAACAACAGCCCCCCAGUACCUGCAAGGAGGUUAUGGAGAAGACAUCUUGACUGUGGUGCUUGGCAGGAGGAUAAGAGGCAAUGAGUGUAAGCUGAACGGUUCAGACUGGAUAUAAGGGAAAAAUCUCUCACAGAGGGGACAGUCGAGCGGUGGAACAGGCUGUCCGGGAAGGCUAGGCAGCCUCCAUGUGUUCCUGGAGGGUUUCAAGACCAGACUGGAUAAAGCCUGAGCAAUGUGGUCCGAUCUCAUAGCUGACCCUGCUUGGAGCAUAACAUUGGGCUAGAGACCUCCUGAGGUCCCUUCCAACCUGACUUAGCCUAUGAUCCCUGUGUCUUAUUUAUGGCCAUAAGAGGUGCAGUUCUUCCCUUCUCACUUCCCAGUGGAGUCUUGACUCAGUGAGGUGUUUUGUUCUGUAUAUCAGAUCUGAUAUCAGAGAAACUGAGCUAUUGCUCUCAGCUGAAUGACUUCCUUACGUUCUCUCAGGUAAUCGCUGGAAGAGCUGAGAAGGUACCCUUAGAUGCCAGAGACCCAUUUCUCCAUUCUUUCUAUAAGGAGGAAAGAUGUAUUCUUCUGCUCAAGGCACUAGGCUAGGAUUCAGUACUUUGAAUUAUAUGGACUUUAUUUGAUCUCUGUUAGCCUUACUUUCCCACCUCUGUGGCAUAGGUGUUGCUCCCUUUCAGCCAGAUUAUUCUUGUCAAUUUAGAUCAGAGAACUGACUGCAAGGUAUGGUUUUCCUUACAUAUAUCUUCUGCCUCAGAGCUACAAAUAAGGCUGACCUGCUCUUCCAGAUUGAAUGCACCAGUGCCCAAAUCUCCAUAAAUGACAUUAUAGUCAAGCCAGUCUCACAGACACACUGUAGAAAGCUGUCCUUUUAACCCGAGCAUGAGGUCCCACUGGUUUCAGGGACUGACUCUAGUACUUAUCCAGAUCCACAGUGAGCUAGCUUACUUGCAAAGAAAAGGGUCCCUUUCAGCAUCAGUGUUAGACUGGGUUAUGUGUCAUAUGAAUGAAGUAGUAGCAACCUGAUCUUUCAGCUACACUGACCUAACAGGAGGCUGCUGCUAAAAGGUGAACCUUCCCACAACCAAUAGAUGUGUACUCCCUUCCCAUUCCUUAUGUGGGAUCUAGUGACCAUCUGACCCCAGUCAGCCAAUUAAUCUGAUGGAAAAAUAACACCACAAAAAAUAAUGUGUUUUCUACUGGACAUAGAGCUGAAUUGGUCCACUUGUGAUCACACAGUUGCAAGGUCCAGGGAGGCAGAAACCUGAAAGUGAGGGAAAGCAGAACUACUCCUUCCAGCAGCCAUCCAUCAUUAGAUCGACUUAACUGGUACCAACAAUCAGAGGCCAUAACAUGAGCCAAAUCAGAGAACUAAUCCAUCUGAAAUUAAACCGUUAAAAAAAAUUUCAACUAUGUUAGCUGACUGAGAUGGCUGGUCGCAUGAGACCUACAAAAGACAGAAAAGGGACAGGAAUGCCCUCUGCAGUGGUAGCCAUAACUUAGAUCAAAAGCGUGCUGCAGGCCCCUCAACCCCGAAGUGCUAGGAAGAUCCAUGAGCCCCAAUUUGCAGCAUAACUCCAGUUCCAGUUGCAAGAGCAAGUGCAAUUAUACGAUAAACAUGUUUUAGCCAAGGCUGUACUCAUAAUCAGAUACAAGGAACACAAAGUACGUUGGCUGCUCUAUGCAAUGCCUUGUGUCCCAAACAUUUCUAUUAUUUCAUUUGAUUUGUGCCUCCAACUGCCCUGCAAUGUAUUUUUGACAGCUGUGUUGCCUGGCAGCCACUUUGUCACAGCUCAAGAGGCAAUUAUGAAGAGAGGUGUAUCUGCACUACCCGAAAAGAUAAUGGAUCUUUAGUGUAUAGGCUUCACAAAAAGACCAUGUUCUCUGUCCAAGUCUCCAGGCGCUGCUGUAAUACAAGCAACAACAAGACAAUUCAAUAAAGUGUGGCUUAAUGUGAUAAACUGGAGUAUUACCAGAAGUAAUGUGAUUACGUUAUGAAAGGGUGAAAUUAUGCUCAUGCUCAGAAAUCGCUGUUUGUUUGUUUUCUACCAAUCAAGAUAAGUAUAACUUGUGAAUGGUGUCUAAAGAGAAACAAAUAUGCUCCUGAGCAUUUAAAAAUAAGCAGCUACUGAAUAACAUAAUUCAGGCAACAAUUGUCAGGAAAAGGGAUUAGAUAGUAGUUAGGUCUGUCUGUCUCUAGUUUGGAUUGUUCCAGUUUUUGGAAGAUCAUGGUAGGAAUGGUCUAAAAUCUUGUAUUGCAUUUUUAUAAAACCACAGAAGACCUUUUAUAGCUUGAUGAGUGAGUCUGAUACCCAGUCUUUUUCCUUAGGGAAAAGGGGAAAGGGAGUUCAAAACUAGAUCUGGUCAGGAAGUACUUGACAGAACAGUUUCAUUUUAAAAGAGUCAGUAUGUUGCACUCAAAAUGUUUUGCUGAAAAUAUCUAGAUUUCAAUGAACUUUCACUGAACCCGGAGCAGGGCUCUGAGGGAACCUGGUCUGUGUUCUUGGCAGGGCUGGCCCAAGACUGACGGUGAUUUCCUGCCCCUCACCGGCAUCAGCAGUGAGGACAAGAAGGACAUCACUUCCACUGACCAUUUGCCAGAGCUGAGGAACAGCCAGUUCUCCACAAUGUUUAAACACUUUAACACUUUUAAUUUCAUCUGAUAUAUAAACUAUUUCCAGUGCUUCUACCAGAAUACCUAGACUUGGAUAUACCUCCCAGAGCAGAGUAUGGACAAGGUGUUGUUCUCUCACUUGCAAGAAAGUUCCUCUAUUUAUUGGAACAUAUAUGUUUUAAAAAAUACAGGAUGGAGUCUUAAGACUAUGUAAGUCUACUGCAGCUUUACAGAUGUGGGGCCUGGGAGUGUCUGCUUUUUAUAAAUGUGUUUGUUUUUCUUUAACAUUGUAACACAGUCAAAAGAAAUGCAGUAAAAAUAACACAAGCUGUUUCAUGCCUGA